UCGCGGGUAGAUUCAUUGGUAGAUAUCGAUCCUACCAAUAAGCUCGCCACUCUCAGCAUCUCUCUAUAAUUUGAGAAUUAAUUAAAAAAAUUAAAUAACUAGAGAAUUAUAUGCUAAUUAGAAAUUAAAAAUUACCUACUAUGUUCUUCAUGUGACGAGCAAACGAUCUCGAACCCCCACAAUGCGGCACGACCUGUCUCGCCUGGUUCACUGCAUUCUGGGCA
RNAcentral lists this long non-coding RNA (224 nucleotides) under Elaeis guineensis (African oil palm). RNAcentral describes it as "long non-coding RNA (EGUI_LNC078535)". The record is from RNAcentral. Lineage: Eukaryota; Viridiplantae; Streptophyta; Magnoliopsida; Arecales; Arecaceae.